Arachis ipaensis is the source of this 516-nucleotide non-coding RNA. The record is from RefSeq and is a predicted model, not a curated record. Lineage: Eukaryota; Viridiplantae; Streptophyta; Magnoliopsida; Fabales; Fabaceae.
CACCGUCGGUCGGGUCACACAGAGCGAGAGAGAGAGAGAGAGAAGGCACGGGAGCAGAGGAGAGAAAGGAGAGACCCACGCCAGCCACCGCCGCUUCUGCAGCUCGAAACCCCACUGCCGCCGCCGGAGUGUGCACUACCGAUCUCCGCCGCCGCUGCUUGUUGUUCUGAACUGCUGCACCGUCGUUGCCGCCGUUCGGGUCACUGGGAACGUGGCAGUGAUCAUCGGAACCACCAUCGGAGUUACCGUUAUUUCAAUUCAGCCGUUCGUCCUUGUUUAGGAUCGAGUUCCGGGUCUUGAUUGCUGAGUUCUAUGGCUGUAGCAUACAACAUCAAGGUGCUAUGUCGUCAUCGGAGCUGCUGUUGCUCCAUUUUCUCAAUUAUUUGUAAGCCCAGUAAGAUUGAGCUAAGGCUAUGUUUAGAGGUUGUGGCUGCUGCGGGGACGGUCUGUAUUGAUGUUGCUGCUGUGGAAUAAGAAUAAAAAUGUAGUGUGUCGCGUAGUUAGAUCGCGAAUGAG